CUCAAAAAUAUUUAUUGUUGUAAGUGUUUAGUUUAAAAAAAGAGCUGUUGUUUAAAAAAAAAUAUGCCUAAAUUGUCGACGUGUUUGGUAAAUGCCUGCGAGCAAGGAAAUAUUCAAAUUCUCCAGGCCUUGCCCAGAAAAAAUCGCGUUAAUUACUUCCCUUCGCGCUCUAUAAUUAAGGGUUCAAUUAUCAUAAUUCUAUUCAAUAUGUGUUUACUUUAUUUGGGCUAUCUCGCUUAUAAGUAUCUGAACACUUUACAAGAUGAGCAGAAGCUUCAAAUAUCCAACUAUUUAUGUAGCUUGGGUGCUUUUGUGGUUAUCAUCUCACUCCUCCGAAAUAGUGACAUGUCAAAGAAUAAUCCAUACUUCUACUACAUUUAAGCCGUAUAUGAGAAAGGAAAAUUUGAAGCGACAUUGUUUAAUAGGUAAUCCAAAUGUUUGUCAUCAUUUUAUUGGAAUUAUUGUAUCCUGCAAAUACAGUUAAAUACUGUAUUUAAACAGGACUUUUCUAAAUAGAAAUCCUGUCAUUACUUAAAUUCAUGUACACAUAACACAUACUUCUAAACGAUCUAAUUAUUUCAUUUCUACAGCAUCUGUCCAAGAAGAAUCCUUAUAGUAAAUCAUAAUAGUCAUAGUUAUAAUGAUUAACCGUGUCAUGUGUUAAAUAAACGGUUGCGUUCUUGACAAAAAAUAAAGAAA
Drosophila virilis is the source of this 699-nucleotide non-coding RNA. The record is from RefSeq and is a predicted model, not a curated record. Lineage: Eukaryota; Metazoa; Arthropoda; Insecta; Diptera; Drosophilidae.